ACGUACCCAUGGUGCCGGAGCCGUCGGCGCCGCCGUAGAACGUGGCGGUGCCCGGGAGCCAGUCCGACCUCGCCGGUGCAAUGCAGAGUGCAACAACGGCGAGCAGCUG
This 109-nucleotide small RNA is filed under the name Oryza sativa Japonica Group (Japanese rice). Its description in RNAcentral is "sRNA Os03g0156366". The record is from RNAcentral. Lineage: Eukaryota; Viridiplantae; Streptophyta; Magnoliopsida; Poales; Poaceae.